UUAAGGCACGGUGUCAUAUAUAAUAUCAUGCCCGACCAUCAAGGCUCGGUGUUAUCAUCAUUAGCCUGCGUCCAGGCCUCUCGCGUCCGGUGCAAUAUCAUAACAUGCCCACUGCAGUGGUGUGCACAUCUACGUGCCUGCCCGGCCGACUAUAGCGCGGAGCUGUGUGAGAAAAUACAUACAUAUGUAUAUAAAGCAUGCAUAAGAGCCCAAUCAAAAGCCACAACUGUAUCGGAGUGACGUAAGGUCAGUAGCCUCCGAUUAUAUUAUGGAAUACUCAUCGUCGCUUUGUUUCACCUUGAAGGAACAAUUAUUUUAAGGUGAGACUAUCGAUGAAGAAUAGAAUUAAGAGAAAACAUAGAAUAGGUUCGUAAAUCUCAUAAGGCAUCAAGCCAUGUAUUUUUGGAAUCUUAAAAGAAAUUAGUCAUCAUCCAUGAAUGAAUUGAGAAAUCAGUAAAUAACUCAACAUUCUUAUAUCGUCGUUGGAAUCAUAAAUUUAUAACCUUUAAGCAUGGAUUCAUUCUCAUCAUAGUAAUCAUAAUAAUAUAAAGCUCAUGUACAUGGAAAUCUCUAUGAAUACAAAUUAUCUCAUAAUAACAUGAAAUCUGUAUGCCUUGGAGCUUGGAUAAAUAAAUCCCUCAUAAUCAUCGUCAUGGUUAUCAUAAAAGAAAUUAUUCAUAUUUGCCAUCAUAAAACUUUAAGAGUCACAUUCUUGGAAAUGAAAUUUUUUAUGGAAUCCAUACAUAGUUUGGUAGGAAAAGAUUCAUGCUUUUGGAAAUUUGAUAACCUCAUAAGGAUCACGAAAGUCAUGGGUUUCUAGCAUUUGCAGAAUCAAUGAUAUUAUGGAUACGACACAAAGGUUUAUAACGAAAGAUCAUGCCUUUAGAAAGAAGGGGACUAGCCUUAACAUACUCGGAAGAUAAUUUCUCGACUUCCAACUCACUUCAUGUCUUACAAUUCACUUAAGGUCAUUCGUAGCCUUGUAAUCUACAUAUAGAACCAUUCAUAAUAUCAUUAGAAUCAUCAUCAUACUCUCGUCUCGAAACUUUAAUUAAAAUCCUUUUAGAUUCUGUCGAAAUUCGGGCAGCAUCUCCCCUGUUUAUAUGCCCAGCCCGAAUUCUUAAUUCAACAACCAACACAACAAUAACAAUACCAGCAUCAAUACAAUCAUUUCCAUACGAAUAUACUUCCUAAAACAUCCCACACGAUGUUUCCUAAAUUUCUCAACUAACCCACUUGUGAUACGACUAUUUAAUAACUUUAUUUCCGUAAAGAAGCCGAAAUUAAUACUAACAACAUCCCCAACAUCCUACAAGAUAAAUAUAUGUAUUUCCAUCCAUAUUUCUCUUCAACCCUCAAUCCACAAAUCAAAAACAUCAACACAACAACUACAACUUUUAUUUCUUGCAAAUAUUCCUUAAUCAAGAUUGAUAAAGAGAAGGAUUUAAUGAUUCAUACCUUGUUUUUAUGAAGGUUGCAAAAUCUUCAUCAUUUUCUUGUUCCCAAGCUACUCUAACACAAAAUGAAAUCAUCAUCGCGUCUACGUGUUGUUCGGACUUCGAUUAGUACUCCAAGACUUUGAAAUUUGCCCAAAAUCUUCAUUUUUAUGUUGUAUUUUAAGAGCCCUUUAGUUGGCUGGAAAAUUCUGGAAAUUUUUGGAAGGUUUUAUGAUGAAAAAUGGGGUUUUGACCCCUUUUAUAAUAAGUUGGGUCGGCGUCACUGUAGCUACAGUACUGUAGCAGUAAUGUGGCGGUACUGUAGCAGUGUUGUUUCUGCGUUGACAGUUCAGUUUGUAACGUCUAUAACUCUUUACUCCGACAUCCUAUUGACGAUCGGUUUGUUGCAUUCCGAACUAGACUCGACGAACUUCAUUUUAGGCUUUUGAAACGCCUUAAAACUCCAAAUAUACAUGGAGAUAUACCCCUCCAAAGUUGACUAAAAAUCUGUCCAACAUUUCUCAAAUUUUCGUCGAACUUAUUUUCUUCAAUUUUCUCGAUAUCGAAAUAUUCCGAAACUCUCCAUACAUGAUAUUUAUCACUUAUUAUACUAAUAAUGACCAUGUUCUAGUGUUUCAAAAUUCUCUUUCUCGAUUACGACUGACGAGAUCGUAAUUCACCCUUUUUCUUCGUUGUUACGUACUUUCCAUGACUUGUGCCUUUCAAAACAUCAUGGGAUGUCUUCGACACUCCAUUACUACGGUGAGGUACAUGUCAUCUCAUGCUCUGAAAACGCGGGGUGUAACAUCACUCUAUUUCAGUUGUAUACUUUUGUAUAGUGCGGGAUGACCCCGUAACUUUAUUAUUUCAUUUGUAGCGUCAUAGAGGCUCCAUAGAGACUUUGUAUCAUUUUGGGCAGUCGGUACUCAUAUGGCAUAGCGAAUGACAUUUCUACUUAUGUUUACUUUACAUUUUGAUGUACUUUGAUCUUGAAGGGAGUUAUUUUAUUUUGUCUCAUAUUAUUGUUAAGUUAAUUAAUUGAGUUAGGUGAAUAUGAUUUGGGGUUACUUAUUAUGUCAUAAUGGUUCACUCGGUGCAAGUUUGUAGGCACAGGGUGCCGGUCACGUUGCAACCCAUUUUGGGGCGUGACAUUUUGCUUUGCUAUUGUCUAGUAUUUUCUCUUUGAAAGAAAGACAUUGAAUUGAGCAGUGACUUAUCAACAUAAAAGGCAUUAAAUAUAGCAAAGAUAAAUCUAUGUUAUAUCUAAUCUUUUCAUCAAAAAAAAAAAAAAAUUGUCUUUGUCCAUUUUGAUGUAAUUUUUGGUUUCUAACUAGAAUUUAUCAAAUUCUAUUGGUGCUCGGAGCAAGGUUGUUUUUUUACCUCUUCCUUUAGUUGAAAAUUUAGUAAGCAAUAUCAGUAUGUAGCAUUGAAAAUUUAGUAAGCAAUAUCAGUAUGUAGCAUAAUUGAUCAAUUAUGCUCCAGGCUGCUGUGGAAUAUUUUUGAGGAUAUUUACAAAUUUUAUAAGCUUACAGAGGUAUGGUGAAUAUCAUGUGUCUCUCUUUUGAUGUUGGGGUGACUUUACCAUUAUAGUGAAUAUAUUUCAAUUACUUUAAUGUGACAAAAUAAUAGUUUUUAAUGUGACAAAAUAAUAGUGUUUUUUACUUUAUUGUGUAGUGUAUAAAAUUCGUGUUAUUUUGAUGAUUUGGCUGAUUUAGGAUGGGCGUUGAUCGUGCGGUUACAUAGAUUUACAACCAGAGAUCAACGCCAAGGUAAGAGCAAUUCUUAUGGACUGGCUGAUAGAAGCACACAAAAUGUUUGAGAUGAGGCCUGAAAGCCUUUACCUCACAGUUAACAUUUUGGAUCUUUUCCUGUCAGAGAAGACUGUUCUUGGAAGGGAACUUCAGUUAAUUUGCAUUAUCUCAAUGCUAAUUGCCUGCAAAUACAACGAGACUUGGGCUCCAGAGACAAUGCUUAUGUCAGGGACGAGAUACUUCUAAUGGAGAAAGCAACCUAGGGAAAGCUGGAGUGGUAUUUAACUCUUCCAUCUGAGUCACCUCCUUUUUAUUGGUUUUGGACCAAAUACUUCGCUCCUUUAUCUUGUUCUGUUUUUAUUUUUCUUGAACAAUACUAAUGUAUGGGAAGAAGCAACCAACAUCUAUGUGAAAAACAAAACUGCUCAAGAGUUGCAACAUCAAGAGAAAUUUUAUGGCAGCAACUAUUUACUUUUGGAGCUCUCUUUA
Lycium barbarum (goji berry) is the source of this 3676-nucleotide long non-coding RNA. RefSeq lists it as uncharacterized. Lineage: Eukaryota; Viridiplantae; Streptophyta; Magnoliopsida; Solanales; Solanaceae. The transcript is spliced from 2 exons. The record is from RefSeq and is a predicted model, not a curated record.